Molecule: non-coding RNA, 779 nt
Filed under: Chaetosoma scaritides
Lineage: Eukaryota; Metazoa; Arthropoda; Insecta; Coleoptera; Chaetosomatidae
Source: RNAcentral
AAAAAGUUUUAUCUUAGCUUAAUAUUUUUUUUAAUUUUUAAUUUACAUGUAAAUUUUUGUAUUAAUUAAAUUUUAUUUUAAAAGUAAAAUUUAUUUAUUUAUUCGCAGUAGGUAAUUUUAAUUAUUAAUUAUUAUUAGAAUUAGUAAAAAAUUAGAAUAUUAACAAAAUUUGUGCCAGCAGUUGCGGUUACACAAAUAAUGUGAAGAAAAUAUUUUAGUAAAAAUUAUUUAAAUAUUAUUAGAAUAUUAAUUAAAAAUUUUAAGGUGGAAUUUUAUUUUUUAUUAAUAUUUGAAUUUAGUUUAAGAAGUUUAGAAAUUUUUUAUAGAAACUAGGAUUAGAUACCCUAUUAUUUUAAAUGUAAUUUAUUUACUUAAUUAGUAUUAGUUAUGUUCUUAAAAAUUAAAGGAUUUGGCGGUAUUUUAAUCUAUUCAGAGGAACCUGUUCUGUAAUUGAUAAUCCACGAUUUGAAUUACUUAUUUUAUUAGUUUACAUAUCGUCGUAGUUAAAAUAUUUUAAAAGAAUGUUAAUAUUUAAUAUUUUUUAUUAAAAUAAAAAUCAGAUCAAGGUGUAGUUUAUAAAUAAGGAGAAAUGGGUUACAAUAAAUAAAUUUAUGGAUAUUUAUUAUUAAUUAGUAUUUAGAAAUUGGAUUUGACAGUAAUUUUAAAUAAAUUUUUAAAAUGAUUUUAGUUCUAAAAUAUGUACAUAUUGCCCGUCGCUUUUACUUUAAGGUAAAAUAAGUCGUAACAAAGUAGAUUUACUGGAAAGUGAAUCUAGAAUA